GCCAGACUCCUACGGGAGGCAGCAGUGGGGAAUAUUGCACAAUGGGGGGAACCCUGGUGCAGCGACGCCGCGUGGGUGAAGGAGCACCUCGGUGCGUAAAGCCCUAUCGGCAGGGAAGAAACAGACGGUACCUGACUAAGAAGCCCCGGCUAACUACGGGCCAGCAGCCGCGGUAAUACGUAGGGGGCAAGCGUUAUCCGGAUUUACUGGGUGUAAAGGGAGCGUAGACGGCUGUGCAAGUCUGAAGUGAAAGCCCGUGGCUCAACCGCGGAACUGCUUUGGAAACUGGAUAGCUUGAGUACUGGAGAGGCAGGCGGAAUUCCUAGUGUAGCGGUGAAAUGCGUAGAUAUUAGGAGGAACACCAGUGGCGAAGGCGGCCUGCUGGACGACAACUGACGGUGAGGCGCGAAAGCGUGGGGAGCAAACAGGAUUAGAUACCCGAGUAAUA
Molecule: ribosomal RNA, 448 nt
Filed under: uncultured bacterium
Lineage: Bacteria
Description: bacterial SSU rRNA
Rfam family: Bacterial small subunit ribosomal RNA
Source: RNAcentral